Molecule: long non-coding RNA, 3100 nt
Organism: Poecile atricapillus (Black-capped chickadee)
Lineage: Eukaryota; Metazoa; Chordata; Aves; Passeriformes; Paridae
Exons: 4
Source: RefSeq, a predicted model, not a curated record
GGCAGUACCGUGCAUCGCUGCCGCGGGCUGCGCAGGGCCGGGCCCGACCGAGCCGAGCCGCGUCCCCGGUGCCGGCGGAGAAGGAGCGGGAGCGGGGCGAGAGCGGGGCGGGAGCGGCCGGUGACAGAUUCCGGAAGUGAGUCCUAGCCAUGGAAAUGAGCACAGCUUUUGCUCCAUGCCUCCAUGAAGGACUCUCACAAAUGAUUCUCCUCCAGCAUGGAAAACAGAGGAGCUCUGCAGGACACCACUGACCUGGAAAACCCUCAGCUGCUGCCACAGCAGGAGAUGUCAAGAGACAGAAAGCCUGCCCGGAUGAACGUGGGGUUCCUGCCUAUCCCGCUGCUGUGUGUCUUUCUGGCACCCUGUUUCUAAAAUUCAUGUAAUUCACCAGUGGCAUUUUAGGAUUUCCUACAUGUGCUAAAUUGUAAUGAAAGACAUCUGCUGAUGGCAAAGUCUCUGGCCUCAGAGGAUUACAUGGGGUAGGGCUGCCUGAGACAGCCCAAAUCCACUUGAGACUGAAAAGGUGUGAGCAGUAAAUAAAAGGAAAUCCUGGAUCACCAUAUAGUGUUCAGCUCCCACACUUUGACCUCCUUUGGUCCCUUCUAUAUUUUUUUAAGAUCAUAUUUCUUUAUGUGCUGCCUGGUUUAAAAGCCAUCAUAAAUCUGUGCUGUGCAGCAAGAAUAACAGCGAAGGCACCGUGUAAUACAAGGCGCUCUAAUUCCAUCCCAGGCACUCGGAGGGAGCUGUAAAUCAGUUUGGAGAGGCCUUAGACAGGAGAACUGUAGGGAAGGCUGGGAAGGCAGCCACAGCCUGGCCCCUGCCACUGGAGCCCAUCUGCCCUCCAGCUGAGGUGAGCACACCUGCCUCAAAAAUAAAGGGUUCUGAUGUCUCCAGAGUUGAACAGGGAUCAAACUACUUUAAAUACACUUUGAGGAGAAGCACACCUACCAUCUUUGGUGGGAAUGCUCUGUGGGGUGUGCCAUGCACUGCAGGUGGGAGCAAGGCCUGGCCCUUGCUCAUGCCAUGUGUGUCCAGGUUUGCCUCCACCUGGCAUCACCUGGGGAAACCAAACACCACACCUGGCUGGGCUCACCUGUGGCCAAACCACUCUUGUGUCCCAGCUGCAGGUGUGGCUCUGGGUCAGGGAAGGCUCCACCAAUCUCGUGGGCCUUUCACAGCUGUACGUGAGUGAUGGCUGGUUUGAGGUGUGUACCCACACACUCACCCAAACCAAUGGAGAUGUAGCUCCUCCACUGGAAAUUUGGGAGGAGCUGGAGCUAGGGAUAUGCUAUCAUAUUCUAGACAGUAACAUCUCUUUUUCUUUGCUCUAGUGGGAAAAAACUUUCAAGUGUGGAAGUUUUCUGAGGAAGACUUUCCUAAUAAUAAUUCUGCUCAAGUUUUGAAAAAAAAUUGUGAAUAAAUUUUUCUUUUUUCUGCCAGCUAGUAUAACAUGAUGGAUGUAAUAUUUUUAUAAGGUUUCUUUGUGCUACAGUUAAAACAUAGUAAAUUUUGGAAAAGAUGAAUUGCAAAGGGGAAUGAAAUGAAAACAUAUUUGUCCAUUUGAACUUCCAAACUCAGACUCUUAAGUUUUCCUUAGAUGCAGGAAUAAAAGAUAAAUCAUUGAAUUCUGGGCCAUCAAUCAUUUUAUUCUACCCACGGUAAAAAGCAAAAAAGAGGAGAGAAAAAGAAAAUACAACCAAAGUUGUGGCCAUGUUGAAACUUUGGAGAAAAUGGUUGAAUAAAAAGGAGGAAAGAAGUAUGUUGCAACCAUGAGUAUCCUAUGCCAAACCUCAGCAGAGGUCACUGGAAUGAGCCAGCAAGCCAAGCCUAAAUAAAACUAGGACCUGUGGGAUUCCCCAUCUGAUUUUCAAAUAGUUACUGCUACACUAUCAUUUGUCAAGCUUGCAGGGUAGUUUUUUACCAGAUGUGAGAAACACAGUACCAAAUCCAGCCUGAAGCCAGAGAGAAGAAUGUAUGCUUCCACAUGGGAAUAAUCUGCUCAGGAAGGACUGUAAAGUCUGAGACUGGACUGAAACCUCCCAGAUCCCGGAGCGCUGUGAAGUGUGUUUUAAUAAUUUCAUCACAACUGAGCUGCUGUGCUUGCCCCCACUGUAUCCCUGAGCUAUCCAUGGCAGAGAUGAGGACCACCAGAUCCUAAUGCCCAGAAAUCAGGGCAAAUCCAGAGACCAGGGGAGGUGAAACCUGUGUGGAAAUGGCAAAUCCAUCAGAUGAGAAACAGAUGUACAAGACUCUCUUGUGUUUUUGUGUGAAUCACUGCAGCACAGGCAGAAACUGAACUUGAAUUGCCUACAACCUCAAUCACCUCUACAUGAACAGCUUUCUGAAAAAGCAUGGUCAACAUGGGACACCUUCCUGAGAAGUAAACAGGAAGGAGCAAUUUAUAUUGUAAUCCUUUUAAAAGGCAAUACACAACACCAACCUCAAAAACCAAAACCAAACCCCAAGAACCAAACAGCACAUGCUGUAUUUUUAGAGAGAACUUUAGUCAGGUAGGGCAGUUUCUCUGUCUCUCCUUGCUCAGUUCAUGACAGCGAUCAUUGCCUGCUAAUCAGUCUUAUUUGGAGGAUUUACUCCUUGUUAUGUAAUUCCAGAUAUUUCUUGCAGUACUGAGCUUUUACUGUAUUUAGAUGGGUAAGAAAGAAAGGAAGAAUGACUCUGCAGAAGGGGUUUCAGAUACUUUAUUUUUACACCCGUACACAUAGUUUUCUGAGGUGUUUGGCACUAAGGGUGCAAUGUAUUAAAAUGAUUGAUUGAUUGCAUUUUAAAAAUAGAAGUACUGUUCUGAUACUAGGAUUAACUAUUAUCAUUAAGAUAUGACAGAAUUUUAAACAGCUUUGAAUUUGCACCCUUCUGUGAAUGUAAAGUGCCCUUCCCCAUCCCCCUUGCCCACGCUACACACAAACCAGAGUAUUUCAUAGAGCAACAGAGCAAAUGCCACUCACUUUUCUCCUCACAUGGCCAAUACCAGGACUACAGGAACAACUCCACAGUGCCCCUUCAAUUUCUGUAACCCAUUUUUAGUUUUCUUUCAGCAUAUUUGUAAGCUAUCCUGAUCCCUUUUUUCCCUGAACAAUGUUAU